Molecule: long non-coding RNA, 207 nt
Filed under: Setaria italica (foxtail millet)
Lineage: Eukaryota; Viridiplantae; Streptophyta; Magnoliopsida; Poales; Poaceae
Description: long non-coding RNA (SITA_LNC000285)
Source: RNAcentral
AGGGAAGUUAGAGGCAAGGAAGGUGUGGAGAGUACUGAUGGGAAAACUGAAGAAUAUAAUGAAGAUGGGAUAGAAGAAGGAAAUGCAAAGGAUGAAGAGGCACCCCGUGAGCCAAAUGGUGAGGCUGAUAAGGGGGAAGACAUCCCUGGGUUAGUUGAGCAGGUAGAGAGGGAAGAAGAAGAGGAUCAUGGUGCUAUGGAUGAUGAC